This 74-nucleotide transfer RNA is filed under the name Podarcis lilfordi (Lilford's wall lizard). RNAcentral describes it as "tRNA.Lys". The stretch from base 9 to 66 matches the Rfam family "tRNA", at positions 8 to 63 of the family's 71-position model. Rfam says of the family: Transfer RNA (tRNA) molecules are approximately 80 nucleotides in length. Their secondary structure includes four short double-helical elements and three loops (D, anti-codon, and T loops). The record is from RNAcentral. Lineage: Eukaryota; Metazoa; Chordata; Lepidosauria; Squamata; Lacertidae.
GCGGGACAUAGCUCAGUUGGUAGAGAAUGAGAUUCUUAAUCCUGGGGUUGUGGGUUCGAGCCCCAUGUUGGGCA